This is a long non-coding RNA of Mauremys reevesii (Reeves's turtle), 276 nucleotides long. RefSeq lists it as uncharacterized. The record is from RefSeq and is a predicted model, not a curated record. The transcript is spliced from 3 exons. NCBI's taxonomy places the organism in Eukaryota, Metazoa, Chordata, Testudines, Geoemydidae.
AGAGAAAACUGCAAGUCAUCAACCUGCAAUGGAGUAUUUGAAAGGCAGAAUCCUAGUAUUAGCUGGAGAGGUACAAGUACAAAAAGGGACAGAGAAUGGGAAAAGUGGGGAGUUCUGUCCCAGAAGAAGCAACAUCAGGCUUCAUUGAGGACAUGAAGGAACGAUAUCUGGUACUAAUGGACAAGCUGCUUGUAGCCUUGACUAACAUACAAAGCACUUUGCAAAAAUCAGUGACAACAAGUGUCAUCAAAAUAACAGAAGACCAUAAGAACAGCC